UACGGAGGGUGCAAGCGUUAUCCGGAUUUAUUGGGUUUAAAGGGUUCGUAGGCGGCUCUGUAAGUCAGUGGUGAAAUCUCACAGCUUAACUGUGAAACUGCCAUUGAUACUGCAGGUCUUGAGUGUUAUUGAAGUAGCUGGAAUAAGUAGUGUAGCGGUGAAAUGCAUAGAUAUUACUUAGAACACCAAUUGCGAAGGCAGGUUACUAAGCAACAACUGACGCUGAUGGACGAAAGCGUGGGGAGCGAACAGG
This 253-nucleotide ribosomal RNA is filed under the name uncultured bacterium. RNAcentral's name for it is "partial 16S ribosomal RNA". It matches the Rfam family "Bacterial small subunit ribosomal RNA", at positions 524 to 776 of the family's 1533-position model. The record is from RNAcentral.